UACGUAGGGUGCGAGCGUUAAUCGGAAUUACUGGGCGUAAAGCGUGCGCAGGCGGUUUUGUAAGCCCGGUGUGAAAUCCCCGGGCUCAACCUGGGAAUGGCAUUUGGGACUGCAAGGCUGGAGUGCGGCAGAGGAGACUGGAAUUCCUGGUGUAGCAGUGAAAUGCGUAGAUAUCAGGAGGAAUACCGAUGGCGAAGGCAAUCCCCUGGGCCUGCACUGACGCUCAUGCACGAAAGCGUGGGGAGCAAACAGG
Molecule: ribosomal RNA, 253 nt
Filed under: uncultured bacterium
Lineage: Bacteria
Description: partial 16S ribosomal RNA
Rfam family: Bacterial small subunit ribosomal RNA
Source: RNAcentral